UUAUUAAUCGGGAUAGGACUUGGCAGUGGGGCAGGAGUUAUUCUUUUUAUUCUCGCUGUAUUCUUCAUGAUGCAAAAGAUUAAACAUCAGAGGGCCAAAAAGUUGAGACAUAAAUGUUUUGAGCAAAAUCGUGGACAAUUAUUGCAACAACUGGUAGCUCAAAGAGCUGAUAUUGCAGAGAGAAUGAUCAUAACAAUGGAAGAGCUCGAGAAGGCAACAAACAAUUUUGAUAAAUCCCGAGAACUUGGUGGGGGAGGGCAUGGUACUGUUUACAAAGGGAUUUUAUCAGAUCUACAUGUCGUAGCCAUCAAGAAACCAAAUGUGGUGGUUCAGAAAGAGAUUGAUGAGUUUAUCAACGAGGUUGCUAUCUUGUCACAAGUCAACCAUAAUGUGGUAAAACUCUAUGGUUGUUGUCUUGAAACGGAAGUUCCAAUGUUGGGAAAUAGGCUACGUAUAGCAGUUGAAACAGCCAAAUCUCUUGCUUAUCUUCACUCGUCUGUUUCGAUACCUAUAAUCCAUAGAGAUAUCAAGUCCGUUAAUAUACUUUUGGAUGAUACUCUAACAGCAAAGGUAGCAGACUUUGGAGCUUCAAGGUACAUUCCAGUGGAGCAAUCAGGGGUAACAACAAUGGUGCAAGGUACAGUAGGAUAUUUAGAUCCUAUGUACUUCUACACAUCGCGUCUCACAGAUAAGAGUGACGUUUAUAGCUUCGGUGUCAUUCUUGUGGAACUAUUGACUCGAAAGAAGCCCUUCUCAUACAUGUCUUCUGAAGGUGAUAGUCUUGUUGCAAAUUUUGUUACCCUGCUUGCGGAAUGCAGUUUAUUGUAGAUAUUAGAUCCACGAGUGAUCGAAGAAGGCGGGAUAAAAGUUGAAGAAGUUGCCAAGCUUGCUGUAACAUGUGUGAAAUUAAACGGAGAGGAUCGUCCAACCAUGAGGCUAGUGGAAAUGACACUAGAUGGCCUUCAAACAUCCAUGGAUCACGUUGCAGAUGGUCAAGUGGUCGGGGAAUUUGAGAAGGGUGACAUUGGAAUAAAUCCACCAUCAAUAAAUAGUGUCGAAAGAAACAAUGAUGAUUCAACAAGACAAUACAGCUUAGAAGAAGAGUUUAUGUUAUCCGCAAGGUACCCUCGAUAG
RNAcentral lists this ribosomal RNA (1134 nucleotides) under Triticum aestivum (bread wheat). Its description in RNAcentral is "partial small subunit ribosomal RNA". Lineage: Eukaryota; Viridiplantae; Streptophyta; Magnoliopsida; Poales; Poaceae. The record is from RNAcentral.